UAUGGAAGACGAGUUGAAGAGAGUGAAGCGCCGGUGCAAAGAUCUGGAAGGCGAGGUUACGCAAAAAGCUUCAGCCGCCUCUACUUUAUCUGCCACCAACAAGAAGUUGGCUGAGGAUUGGGCUGCUCAAAGGAAUCUCUUGAGAGAUAAAGAGCAGGAAAUCUCCAAGGUCAACGAGUUGGGGGCUGUAGAGAUGGAAUUAGCAGCUCAACGUGCCAGGGUCUCAAUCAAAGAGUCGAUGAUCGUCGACAUCACCCGCCAGCACGAAAAUACUGAGGCGAACCUUCAUUCCUGUCGGACACAGAACUCCAUAUUUUCCGACCGACUGAAUGAAAGUUAUGAAGAGAACAAGAAGCUGUU
This 360-nucleotide long non-coding RNA is filed under the name Zostera marina. Its description in RNAcentral is "long non-coding RNA (ZMAR_LNC003533)". The record is from RNAcentral. Lineage: Eukaryota; Viridiplantae; Streptophyta; Magnoliopsida; Alismatales; Zosteraceae.